GACGAACGCUGGCGGCGUGCUUAACACAUGCAAGUCGAACGGAAAGGCCCUGCUUUUGUGGGGUUCUCGAGUGGCGAACGGGUGAGUAACACGUGAGUAACCUGCUCUUGACUUUGGGAUAACUUCAGGAAACUGGGGCUAAUACCGGAUAGGAGCUCCUGCUGCAUGGUGGGGGUUGGAAAGUUUCGGCGGUUGGGGAUGGACUCGCGGCUUAUCAGCUUGUUGGUGGGGUAGUGGCUUACCAAGGCUUUGACGGGUAGCCGGCCUGAGAGGGUGACCGGCCACAUUGGGACUGAGAUACGGCCCAGACUCCUACGGGAGGCAGCAGUGGGGAAUAUUGCACAAUGGGCGGAAGCCUGAUGCAGCAACGCCGCGUGCGGGAUGACGGCCUUCGGGUUGUAAACCGCUUUCGCCUGUGACGAAGCGUGAGUGACGGUAAUGGGUAAAGAAGCACCGGCUAACUACGUG
RNAcentral lists this ribosomal RNA (468 nucleotides) under uncultured bacterium. Its description in RNAcentral is "partial 16S ribosomal RNA". It matches the Rfam family "Bacterial small subunit ribosomal RNA", at positions 28 to 507 of the family's 1533-position model. The record is from RNAcentral.